This 399-nucleotide long non-coding RNA is filed under the name Daucus carota (carrot). Its description in RNAcentral is "long non-coding RNA (DCAR_LNC007189)". Lineage: Eukaryota; Viridiplantae; Streptophyta; Magnoliopsida; Apiales; Apiaceae. The record is from RNAcentral.
GUGGUAAAAGAAGACAAGAGUGUGCUCAAAGAUUUGGUUGAUCUUCUGGAGAUAAGAAAAGCUGUAGAGACUGUCCACAACACUUCUAGAGUUCGUGCUCAUCCAUCAAGGAUCAUUAUGAAAAUUGAAGGAAUGGAGAUGAAUGUCACUUUUAAGAAGUUGAAGAAGAUGGUUCACCUGCAAACUUUAGAGAAGAUGAAGAAAAAUCUAGAGCAACCUCCACCUGAGAAUACACUGGAGCAAGUGGCACUGAGUACCAUUACAGCAAGGAUUGAAGAGAUUGAAAACAAGCUUACUCAGAAGAGAGUAGAGGAAGCUGCAAAGAGAAAAGCUGAGCAGAAGCUGAUUAAUGCAAGAGCCAAGAAACCAAGGAAAGAUUAGUUCAGGCUAGAGGAACAA